GCAAGGAAUCUUGCGCAAUGGGCGAAAGCCUGACGCAGCGACGCCGCGUGGGGGACGAAGACCUUCGGGUUGUAAACCCCUUUUGUGAGGGACGAAUAAUGACGGUACCUCAUGAAUAAGUCUCGGCUAACUACGUGCCAGCAGCCGCGGUAAUACGUAGGAGGCAAGCGUUAUCCGGAUUUAUUGGGCGUAAAGAGCGCGUAGGCGGCUUAACAAGUCGGAUGUGAAAUCUCCCGGCUUAACUGGGAGGGGUCAUUCGAUACUGUUGAGCUAGAGGGCAGCAGAAGGAGAUGGAAUUCCCGGUGUAGUGGUGAAAUGCGUAGAUAUCGGGAGGAACACCAGUGGCGAAGGCGGUCUUCUAGGCUGUUACUGACGCUGAGGUGCGAAAGCGUGGGGAGCGAACAGGAUUAGAUACCCUGGUAGUCC
This 426-nucleotide ribosomal RNA is filed under the name uncultured bacterium. Its description in RNAcentral is "bacterial SSU rRNA". It matches the Rfam family "Bacterial small subunit ribosomal RNA", at positions 354 to 796 of the family's 1533-position model. The record is from RNAcentral.